RNAcentral lists this ribosomal RNA (231 nucleotides) under uncultured bacterium. Its description in RNAcentral is "partial 16S ribosomal RNA". It matches the Rfam family "Bacterial small subunit ribosomal RNA", at positions 103 to 334 of the family's 1533-position model. The record is from RNAcentral.
CGGGUGCGUAACACGUGAGCAACCUGCCGAUCUGAGGGGGAUAGCCGGCCCAACGGCCGGGUAAUACUGCAUACGUUCUCGAGGGGGAGUCCCCUUGGGAAGAAACCUCCGGGGCAGAUCGAGGGGCUCGCGGCCUAUCAGCUAGUUGGUGAGGUAACGGCUCACCAAGGCAUCGACGGGUAGCUGGUCUGAGAGGAUGGCCAGCCACACUGGGACUGAGACACGGCCCAG